AAAUUGUACUAAGGAUGUGGUACUUCAGGACCAAGAAUUGUAUAUGCUUCAAGCAACUUAAAUCUUUCAAGUUAAGUCAUAUAAGCCAUCUAAUAGACUUUAGAUGCAUAUCAAGUUUUCAUGUCAUGCCGGACAAAUAGAUAUCGAAAACUGAUUACACAUACCUUUGACUUUAUACUUUCAGUAUUUGAACUACAUGUCCAAAACUAC
This 210-nucleotide long non-coding RNA is filed under the name Nicotiana benthamiana. RNAcentral describes it as "long non-coding RNA (NBEN_LNC025432)". The record is from RNAcentral. Lineage: Eukaryota; Viridiplantae; Streptophyta; Magnoliopsida; Solanales; Solanaceae.